CGGCAGGCCUAACACAUGCAAGUCGAGCGGUAGAGAGAAGCUUGCUUCUCUUGAGAGCGGCGGACGGGUGAGUAAUGCCUAGGAAUCUGCCUAGUGGUGGGGAUAACGUUCGGAAACGGACGCUAAUACCGCAUACGUCCUACGGGAGAAAGCGGGGGAUCUUCGGACCUCGCGCCAUUAGAUGAGCCUAGGUCGGAUUAGCUAGUUGGUGAGGUAAUGGCUUACCAAGGCGACGAUCCGUAACUGGUCUGAGAGGAUGAUCAGUCACACUGGAACUGAGACACGGUCCAGACUCCUACGGGAGGCAGCAGUGGGGAAUAUUGGACAAUGGGCGAAAGCCUGAUCCAGCCAUGCCGCGUGUGUGAAGAAGGUCUUCGGAUUGUAAAGCACUUUAAGUUGGGAGGAAGGGCAGUAACCUAAUACGUUAUUGUUUUGACGUUACCGACAGAAUAAGCACCGGCUAACUACGUG
This 471-nucleotide ribosomal RNA is filed under the name uncultured bacterium. RNAcentral describes it as "bacterial SSU rRNA". It matches the Rfam family "Bacterial small subunit ribosomal RNA", at positions 40 to 507 of the family's 1533-position model. The record is from RNAcentral.